Molecule: non-coding RNA, 30 nt
Filed under: Mus musculus (house mouse)
Lineage: Eukaryota; Metazoa; Chordata; Mammalia; Rodentia; Muridae
Source: RNAcentral
UGGUUGCUGUUUAGGUGUUUCUUACAUGGU